AAAAUUCUAUUUUUGUUUGUAAAUAAUUCAGUCUUUCUGCAUGCAUUCCCUUUUAGUUGGUAAGUUUUAGAAUAUACACACCCUUUUGAUUAGAGAAACAAGAGUGGAUCUUGUAGAGUACUACAGACGUGAAGGGUGCUUAUGCCAUCCUUUCGCGUAAUCGACUCCCUUACCUAUCUCUUGGUUGCAAGACAAUUAGAUUCAUCCUUUUUGUAGAUUUACUCAGUGAAUCCUUUUCCUAUCUUGGGAUAAAUAUCAUUGGUGGCGACUCUG
This 273-nucleotide long non-coding RNA is filed under the name Lathyrus oleraceus (garden pea). Its description in RNAcentral is "Pisum sativum (pea) long non-coding RNA (PSAT_LNC005173)". Lineage: Eukaryota; Viridiplantae; Streptophyta; Magnoliopsida; Fabales; Fabaceae. The record is from RNAcentral.